GAUGAAGAACGUAGCGAAAUGCGAUACGUAAUGUGAAUUGCAGAAUUCAGUGAAUUAUCGAGUCUUUGAACGCACAUUGCGCCCCCUGGUAUUCCGGGGGGCAUGCCUGUCCGAGCGUCAUUGCUGCCCUCAAGCACGGCUUGUGUGUUGGGCCUCCGUCCUCCUCCCGGGGGACGGGCCCGAAAGGCAGCGGCGGCACCGCGUCCGGUCCUCGAGCGUAUGGGGCUUCGUCACCCGCUCUUGUAGGCCCGGCCGGCGCUUGCCGACACAUCAAUCUUUUUUCCAGGUUGACCUCGGAUCAGGUAGGGAUACCCGCUGAACUUAAGCAUAUCAUAAGCGGAGGA
Molecule: unclassified non-coding RNA, 344 nt
Filed under: soil metagenome
Description: partial contains 5.8S ribosomal RNA, internal transcribed spacer 2, and large subunit ribosomal RNA
Rfam family: 5.8S ribosomal RNA (bases 1-120)
Source: RNAcentral